This 192-nucleotide ribosomal RNA is filed under the name uncultured Bacteroidota bacterium. RNAcentral describes it as "uncultured Bacteroidetes bacterium partial 16S ribosomal RNA". It matches the Rfam family "Bacterial small subunit ribosomal RNA", at positions 335 to 524 of the family's 1533-position model. Lineage: Bacteria; Pseudomonadati; Bacteroidota. The record is from RNAcentral.
ACUCCUACGGGAGGCAGCAGUGAGGAAUAUUGGUCAAUGGGCGCAAGCCUGAACCAGCCAUCCCGCGUGCAGGAAGACGGCCCUAUGGGUUGUAAACUGCUUUUCCAGGGGGAGAAUUUUUCUGUCGUGACAGGAAUUGACGGUACCCUGGGAAUAAGCAUCGGCUAACUCCGUGCCAGCAGCCGCGGUAAU